AUGCAUUUAGUUUAUUUAAAAUAGAAUAAGAGUUUGUCAUACUCUAGGUGAUUUUUUUAUAGAUCAAUGUAUA
Molecule: transfer RNA, 73 nt
Filed under: Schistosoma spindalis
Lineage: Eukaryota; Metazoa; Platyhelminthes; Trematoda; Strigeidida; Schistosomatidae
Description: Schistosoma spindale tRNA-Asp
Source: RNAcentral